GACGAACGCUGGCGGCGUGCUUAACACAUGCAAGUCGAACGGAAAGGCCCUGCUUUUGUGGGGUGCUCGAGUGGCGAACGGGUGAGUAACACGUGAGUAACCUGCCCUUGACUGUGGGAUAACUUCAGGAAACUGGGGCUAAUACCGGAUAGGAGCUCCUGCUGCAUGGUGGGGGUUGGAAAGUUUCGGCGGUUGGGGAUGGACUCGCGGCUUAUCAGCUUGUUGGUGGGGUAGUGGCUUACCAAGGCUUUGACGGGUAGCCGGCCUGAGAGGGUGACCGGCCACAUUGGGACUGAGAUACGGCCCAGCCUCCUCCGGGACGCAGCAGUGGGGAAUAUUGCACAAUGGGCGGAAGCCUGAUGCAGCAAAGCAGCGUGCGGGAUGACGGCCUUCGGGUUGUAAACCGCUUUCGCCUGUGACGAAGCGUGAGUGACGGUAAUGGGUAAAGAAGCUCCGGCUAACUACGUG
RNAcentral lists this ribosomal RNA (468 nucleotides) under uncultured bacterium. RNAcentral's name for it is "partial 16S ribosomal RNA". It matches the Rfam family "Bacterial small subunit ribosomal RNA", at positions 28 to 507 of the family's 1533-position model. The record is from RNAcentral.